GUGCCAGCCGCCGCGGUAACACCGGCGGCCCGAGUGGUGAUCGUGAUUAUUGGGUCUAAAGGGUCCGUAGCCGGUUUGGUCAGUCCUCCGGGAAAUCUGAUGGCUCAACCAUUAGGCUUUCGGGGGAUACUGCCAGGCUUGGAACCGGGAGAGGUAAGAGGUACUACAGGGGUAGGAGUGAAAUCUUGUAAUCCCUGUGAGACCACCUGUGGCGAAGGCGUCUUACCAGAACGGGUUCGACGGUGAGGGACGAAAGCUGGGGGCACGAACCGGAUUAGAUACCCGGGUAGUCCCAGCCGUAAACGAUGCUCGCUAGGUGUCAGGCAUGGCGCGACCGUGUCUGGUGCCGCAGGGWWKCCGUGAAGCGAGCCACCUGGGAAGUACGGCCGCAAGGCUGAA
Molecule: ribosomal RNA, 399 nt
Filed under: uncultured archaeon
Lineage: Archaea
Description: bacterial SSU rRNA
Rfam family: Archaeal small subunit ribosomal RNA
Source: RNAcentral